Cinara cedri is the source of this 681-nucleotide non-coding RNA. NCBI's taxonomy places the organism in Eukaryota, Metazoa, Arthropoda, Insecta, Hemiptera, Aphididae. The record is from the annotation of a GenBank genome assembly.
CGCGUGAGAACUGCUGCGGGGUUCACGGUGGCAAGGCGGUAACGCCUUAUUUAUUAUAAGGAAUUUUAUUUAUUUUUUUUCCCCCUCCGCACCGUAACAGCUACCCAGAUAUGUGCGUAUGUCGUGUUAUUAUAGACUAUAUUAUACGAAUAAUAAUUAUUAUUACGAGCGGUUUCUUCUGGGGCGGUGUGGGAGGCGUACCAUUAAGUUAUUAUAGGUAUAAAGUCACUUUUUUUUUACCGAAAUGGGUCGGUCCGUUAUGUACAGGUACACAGUGGUGUACUUCCGGGCGGAGGGGAGGUUUCCGAGUUCAAAACCCCCGCCCCCGGAGCCCGAAAAGUAAAACAAAUUACGCGAACGAGCAGGGCGCCGUUAUAUUUCGCCGAAUAUGUCGACGUUUCAAACGAUUCCGUUGUCAGUUACGGCCCGUCGCACUGCGGUACCGUUACACUGCGCGCGCGUCACCGGUAAUCGGAUUUCGCGCGUACGCCGGGACGUUCCGAACCUCGCGGCCCCGUCGGCCACGUUACCGGUUACGUCCCGUUUAAGAAAAAAAAAAACGUCACUUACGCGCGCGAUCGAUGGGCGGCGAGACCCUUUCGGGGUCGCGUACCGCGGACGCGAACGGAAGUGUACGGCCGGCGCGCGGAUGAUGUCUGUCGCAUAUGGAGAUGUAUUACG